This 2263-nucleotide long non-coding RNA is filed under the name Olea europaea subsp. europaea. Lineage: Eukaryota; Viridiplantae; Streptophyta; Magnoliopsida; Lamiales; Oleaceae. The record is from RNAcentral.
UUGUGAUCCAUUCUUAAACCCUAGCCCGAGUCCCCAACUCUUCAAAUACAGACCGCUAUAUAUAUGACUACAAAUCACAACCGUCGCCAUGAUUUUGAGCUGAAACGAAAUUCGUUUCGCUGUUAAGUCGGUAAUGUCUUCUUCUUGAUUGUCAAUAUAUUUGUUGAUUAUUUCACAUUUUAGUUUCAAUGUCGGUUUUUAAUUUAGGUUUUAUUUUUUUUCUUGGAAUUCUCAUUUUCUUGUUUGAUUUAGAUCUUACAUAGAAAUAAGCCUCCGCCGAUGAUGGUGUUAAAUAUACUUCGAGUAUUUCACUAUGAAACGAAUAUUAAUCUGAGGUUCCGAGGCGUUAAACCUGAUUUUGUUCCUUCUUAUUUUUGAAUUUGUUAUUAAUUUAUUUUUGGCUAUAAAUUUAUUUAACUUGAUUCCUUUCGCUGAAAUACAAUAUUUUGUAAUUUCAUUUAAUUAAUUUAAAUAAAUUUGUUAAUGCAAGUGACGAUAAAACAGACAGGGACAUCAGAACUCUCUUGAGAGUAUGAUGAUUUGUCGAUGGGAAUCUCUCUGAUGCAUAAUCUAAAUUUUAUUUAUUUAUUUAUUUUGCAAUUAAUUCUACCUUGUUCUUACCGAAGAAUGUGAAAGGUAUGCCAGUGAUGCAUAUAUUGCAUAAUUAUGAGAUUAAACUAUGAUUAUUUAUGCAUAUGAAUCAUCGCAGCUGAGGCAUUCUCCCAGUGUCCAAACGAUUUUCUUUUUUGACCUUGUGCUUGUUCUAGGUUGUGUUAUGUUUGGUCUAAUUGUGCUGGAUCAGCGCGAGGCAGCUAUACUUCUAUAAAAAAUUGUAAUAAUUGAUGCCAUACCACGCAUAUGCUUCCGGAAUUUAUGUUUUUGGUUUGCCUGUGAUGCAUUUCUUAUAAUAAGUAUUAUCAGAGAUAAAAGAUGAUGAUGAUACGAGAUUGUCACUACCUCUGAGGCAAAUAUUUUUAUAGUUGUAAACACUUUUGUCUUUUUUCAAUUUUCCACGAAUUAUUGUCUUGAUUAUGAUAAAAAUUUUAGCAGUUACCAAUUAAAGUCAAUAGUGUAUUUUCCCUCUGGAUUGCUGAAAGGAUUUUUCGUACGUGAAUUUUUUGUAUUUUUAAAUCCUUUUUUUUUUAUUGGGGUAUUCGAUAAUUAGGAAGAUUUUUCUUUUAUAGAUUAAUCGUUUGUUCAAAAGUCCAUUUUUAGUUGUAAGAUAUAGGAUUUUGAUUAGUGAGUUUAGUUAUAAACUUGGUGGAGUUUUUGUGGGAUGAGGCACUUGCCUCAUUUAGAUAGUGGUUUCACAUGGAUUCAUAGAAUUUACAUUGGUUGCUUGGUAGUUGUAUUGUGGCCUGGGAGGCCAUGAGCCCCGCGGAUUCUGCAUCAGAGCAUUCCCUCUAGCAUGCUGCUUAUUUAUGUCCACUUGUUUAGGUUAAAAUUGUUUAUAUGAACUGUUCUUAGAAGUUGGUGUCUUAUUUCAGAAACCAGGUAAUGCCUGAUGAUUACCACAAAGAACGGAGAUAUGAAUGGUGCCCAUUGUGGAAGCCUGGUUACCACUUGGGCUCCAAUGGCAUCAGAUGAAAUUAACUCUUUCACUCACAAUGAAGGCAUACUUUAUAGAGGUGCAUUUUGACAUUUUUGAUAUGCAAGGGUAAUUGUCGCAAAACACUCAUAUCAUUUGUCUUCAUUGAGCAAAUCAUCCCCAUGGUUUUAAUUUUGGCAUUUGGUUACUCAGACUGUUCUUUCUUUGUACGAAAUAUCCUUAUUGUUUGUAUCUUUCAUUAACCGCUUUAAGUUUUGUAAAAUGACAAAUUUACUCUUUUUUUAAAUGAACGAAUUGUAAUUAGUGAAACUUAUUUACACUUUCUGGAAAGAUUUAGUGUUCCUGUUGAAAUUAUUUCUUUAUUUUAGUUUUUUCUUCUUUUGCUUUUGGUUUAUUGAAACACGAGGAAAAAUUCAUUAUUUUAAAAACUUCAUCGAAGGAAAUAGACACAAGGAUGAUUCGCACAAAUUAAAUUCGAUGGAUCCAAGUAUCGUUUUUUACCUUUGUUUAUAUUUUUUGUAGUAAAGGGUUAGCUUCUUCUAAAAUUUCUUCUAACUCGACAAAGUGUAAGUGUUAUGUUUUACGUUUAAUCAACUUUGGACAUCAACAUUUUUAAUAUAUAAUUGAUGAAAUUUUAUGGUAAAUCUAUUAUUUAAUUUAUAUUAAGUUAAAUUAAAUAAUAGAGUCAUAUUCAAAUAUUUAAUUAUAAAGAUU